UAGGAUAUGGUAAUGCUAAAA
This 21-nucleotide microRNA is filed under the name Oryza sativa (Asian cultivated rice). Its description in RNAcentral is "osa-miR5512b". RNAcentral also lists the same sequence under 1 other name. The record is from miRBase by way of RNAcentral. Lineage: Eukaryota; Viridiplantae; Streptophyta; Magnoliopsida; Poales; Poaceae.